GAUGAACGCUGGCGGCGUGCCUAAUACAUGCAAGUCGAGCGAACAGACGAGGAGCUUGCUCCUCUGACGUUAGCGGCGGACGGGUGAGUAACACGUGGAUAACCUACCUAUAAGACUGGGAUAACUUCGGGAAACCGGAGCUAAUACCGGAUAAUAUAUUGAACCGCAUGGUUCAAUAGUGAAAGACGGUUUUGCUGUCACUUAUAGAUGGAUCCGCGCCGCAUUAGCUAGUUGGUAAGGUAACGGCUUAUCAAGGCAACGAUGCGUAGCCGACCUGAGAGGGUGAUCGGCCACACUGGAACUGAGACACGGUCCAGACUCCUACGGGAGGCAGCAGUAGGGAAUCUUCCGCAAUGGGCGAAAGCCUGACGGAGCAACGCCGCGUGAGUGAUGAAGGUCUUCGGAUCGUAAAACUCUGUUAUUAGGGAAGAACAAAUGUGUAAGUAACUAUGCACGUCUUGACGGUACCUAAUCAGAAAGCCACGGCUAACUACGU
RNAcentral lists this ribosomal RNA (496 nucleotides) under uncultured bacterium. Its description in RNAcentral is "partial 16S ribosomal RNA". It matches the Rfam family "Bacterial small subunit ribosomal RNA", at positions 28 to 506 of the family's 1533-position model. The record is from RNAcentral.